RNAcentral lists this ribosomal RNA (253 nucleotides) under uncultured bacterium. RNAcentral's name for it is "partial 16S ribosomal RNA". It matches the Rfam family "Bacterial small subunit ribosomal RNA", at positions 524 to 776 of the family's 1533-position model. The record is from RNAcentral.
UACGGGGGGGGCAAGCGUUGUUCGGAAUUACUGGGCGUAAAGGGCUCGUAGGUGGCCAACUAAGUCAGACGUGAAAUCCCUCGGCUUAACCGGGGAACUGCGUCUGAUACUGGAUGGCUUGAGUUCGGGAGAGGGAUGCGGAAUUCCAGGUGUAGCGGUGAAAUGCGCAGAUAUCAGGAAGAACACCCGUGGCUAAGGCGGCUCUCUAGUACGGUACUGACGCUGAGACGCGAAAGCGUGGGGAGCGAACAGG